This 293-nucleotide long non-coding RNA is filed under the name Homo sapiens (human). Its description in RNAcentral is "non-protein coding lnc-GJA1-7:1". Lineage: Eukaryota; Metazoa; Chordata; Mammalia; Primates; Hominidae. The record is from RNAcentral.
CUACUGGGUCAGUCCCACCCACAACUGGGACAGCCUAUGUCGAGCAACGUCCAUGGCCAGGAGGGCUCAGCUCACAUGUGGAAGGCCCUCACCUACUUCAUUGUGCUCCCCAAGGUGGCAAUAAGCUUGCUGAAUGUGUUCCUGAAGUCGCACCACCAUGGAGAGUACGAGACCCGAGGUCAUCACCUACCCCCAUCUCCACAUCACGUCCAAGCCCUUUCCCUGGGGAGAUGGUAACCAUUCUCUAUUCCAUAACCCUGUGUUAAUCCACUUCCAACUGGCUACAAAGAUAA